RNAcentral lists this unclassified non-coding RNA (344 nucleotides) under soil metagenome. Its description in RNAcentral is "partial contains 5.8S ribosomal RNA, internal transcribed spacer 2, and large subunit ribosomal RNA". The stretch from base 1 to 120 matches the Rfam family "5.8S ribosomal RNA", at positions 35 to 154 of the family's 154-position model. The record is from RNAcentral.
GAUGAAGAACGUAGUGAAAUGCGAUAAGUAAUGUGAAUUGCAGAAUUCCGUGAAUCAUCGAAUUUUUGAACGCACAUUGCGCCCCCUGGUAUUCCGGGGGGCAUGCCUGUCCGAGCGUCAUUGCUGCCCUCAAGCACGGCUUGUGUGUUGGGCCUCCGUCCUCCUCCCGGGGGACGGGCCCGAAAGGCAGCGGCGGCACCGCGUCCGGUCCUCGAGCGUAUGGGGCUUCGUCACCCGCUCUUGUAGGCCCGGCCGGCGCUUGCCGACACAUCAAUCUUUUUUCCAGGUUGACCUCGGAUCAGGUAGGGAUACCCGCUGAACUUAAGCAUAUCAAAAGCGGAGGA